RNAcentral lists this ribosomal RNA (684 nucleotides) under Bacillus sp. MJBC21. RNAcentral describes it as "bacterial SSU rRNA". It matches the Rfam family "Bacterial small subunit ribosomal RNA", at positions 114 to 784 of the family's 1533-position model. Lineage: Bacteria; Bacillati; Bacillota; Bacilli; Caryophanales; Bacillaceae. The record is from RNAcentral.
CACGUGGGCAACCUGCCUGUAAGACUGGGAUAACUCCGGGAAACCGGGGCUAAUACCGGAUAAUUCAUUCCCUCUCAUGAGGGAAUGCUGAAAGACGGUUUCGGCUGUCACUUACAGAUGGGCCCGCGGCGCAUUAGCUAGUUGGUGAGGUAACGGCUCACCAAGGCCACGAUGCGUAGCCGACCUGAGAGGGUGAUCGGCCACACUGGGACUGAGACACGGCCCAGACUCCUACGGGAGGCAGCAGUAGGGAAUCUUCCGCAAUGGACGAAAGUCUGACGGAGCAACGCCGCGUGAGCGAUGAAGGCCUUCGGGUCGUAAAGCUCUGUUGUUAGGGAAGAACAAGUACCGGAGUAACUGCCGGUACCUUGACGGUACCUAACCAGAAAGCCACGGCUAACUACGUGCCAGCAGCCGCGGUAAUACGUAGGUGGCAAGCGUUGUCCGGAAUUAUUGGGCGUAAAGCGCGCGCAGGCGGUCCUUUAAGUCUGAUGUGAAAGCCCACGGCUCAACCGUGGAGGGUCAUUGGAAACUGGGGGACUUGAGUGCAGAAGAGGAGAGUGGAAUUCCACGUGUAGCGGUGAAAUGCGUAGAGAUGUGGAGGAACACCAGUGGCGAAGGCGACUCUCUGGUCUGUAACUGACGCUGAGGCGCGAAAGCGUGGGGAGCGAACAGGAUUAGAUA